CGCAAGGCUAAGGCUGAGCGAGAGAGAGAGAGAAUGAGAGAGAGAGAGGCGGGCAGAUUGAUAGACGCCCCCUCCCUCCGCUAGAGGCAAAAGAGAUGCUGCAAGCCUAUCCCUCCCCCUCCCCACACCAGGUUUGUAGGAGGGGGGCGAAGGGGAGGGCUCCCCCCAAUCAACCGUCCGCAGACCGAGAGGGAGACUGGAAAGGUAAGAUUCGGAACGAAGAAAGGAAACCAAGGGAAAGGAAUCCAUCCCCCCCAAAAAAGGGGGGGCACCAGUAAGGGGGAGAUGGGGGUGGAAGACGGCAGUGUAUGGAGGGGAGCCCGAUCCUGCGCUUGUUUACUGGGAAGUAAGCCUCGUUGGCUGACUGGGCUGGACUGGUAGGAUGGGGGCGGGCUUCCAGAGGUUUGGGCCUCCAACUGCCCUCAGCCCAGCCGAUGACAGGGCCGAUAGGGGGUUGCAGUGCACAACCUCUAGGGGGCGCCAGGCUCCCCAGGCAGAUUCUUGGUCGAUAUGCCCAGGAAGUCCUGGUUAUAUGGGGUGGCAGUCGUGGCUCUGCUCAGCCAUCGCGGAAGGGGGUUGGGGGAGGGGGAGGAGAGGACUGGCAAAGUCCAGGGCCCCCUCCCUUCUCCAGGGAGGCUUCGCAGGCCUCGUUGACCUCUGAGGAAUCGGGGAGGCCCCGUCGUGUGAGUGACCCUGGCUGGGGAUACAAGCUUUAAAGGCGAGGGGAGAGGAGGAGGUGGCGGUGGGGUGGAGCGAUUACCUCCUUCCUCACCGCCCCCCCCCCCCCCACAACGACAUCCACCCUUCCCCCGCAGCUGCUCGUUUAUUCUCCACACCCACCCCCCGUAAAGUUAGCCACGACCUCGGUCACUGUCCUUCUGCUUGCAGGUAGGAAACAGAAACCGACCCGAGGAGGGCAUUGAGACCAGACAAAGCAGAGCACCAACGUACCCAGCUGUUGCUGCUGUUUUUGUUGUUGUGGUCGUGUGUUUUGCUUCCACUUUGGGUGUAGGGUGAGAGGGGAGGUCAGUGGCCGAAGGUGUCCUCCGCGGAGCUUGUUUUGACAUAUUUCGUGCCAGUCCCCUGAGCCUCGUGCGUCAACGAGGAGAGAUCCUGCCGUACUCUGGGGGGGCCAAGGUGUAAUUAUUAUCGAAUAAGCUUAUCUGCGAACAGCCCCACAAGCAAAUGAAAGGGCGCGUUGGAGAGGGGUGGAGAGGGGGGAAUAGCAAGCCUCGAUCUUGCUCUGCCAGCCAGCAGCUGGCCCCUUCUCAAAAGUUGUCGUCAUUAUUAUCAAUAUUAUUACUUCCCUGCAAUGGCGCUUUCCAAAGUUACAUAAGCGGAAGGCAGAUGCCUGCCCCGGGGAGCUUACAGUCUCGAAUUUCGAGGAGGAGGAGGACAGCAGAGAUAAGGAAAGGGAUGCGAUGGGUGAACGCUGGUUUGCCGUGCUGAUUGAUUGAUUGAUUGAUUGAUAUUGUUUUUAAAUAUUCCUUGACGGGCUAGCUCCUUCAUCGUUUUGCAGACUGCCGCUUGUUUUCACCUUCCACCGAAAGAUCAUAGAAUCGUAGAGUUGGAAGGUACCCCGCGGUCAUCUAGUCCAACCCCCUGCAAUGCAGGAAUCUCAACGAAAGCAUCCAUGACAGAUGGCAAUCCAGCCUCUGCUUAAAAACCUCCAAGGAAGGAGAGUCCACCACCUCCCGAUGGAAUCUGCUGCACUGUUGGAACAACUCUUACCGUCAGAAAGAUUAAACACCCUAAAGUAUCAA
Non-coding RNA from Podarcis lilfordi (Lilford's wall lizard), 1763 nucleotides. The record is from the annotation of a GenBank genome assembly. Lineage: Eukaryota; Metazoa; Chordata; Lepidosauria; Squamata; Lacertidae.